AGUGGAAUAACUGGGUCAAAUGGUGGUUCCAUUAAGUUUUCCAAGGAUUCUCCAUAUUACUUUCCAUAUUGUCUGUACCAGUUUGCAGUCCCACUAGCAAU
RNAcentral lists this microRNA precursor (101 nucleotides) under Marmota monax (woodchuck). Lineage: Eukaryota; Metazoa; Chordata; Mammalia; Rodentia; Sciuridae. The record is from RNAcentral.